Molecule: small RNA, 180 nt
Filed under: Thauera sp.
Lineage: Bacteria; Pseudomonadati; Pseudomonadota; Betaproteobacteria; Rhodocyclales; Zoogloeaceae
Description: Manganese sequence
Rfam family: Manganese Mn2+ riboswitch aptamer (yybP-ykoY)
About the family: This RNA was originally discovered in E. coli during a large scale screen and was named SraF.
Source: RNAcentral
AAUCCGCGCCGUCAUUGGGGAGUAGCCGCCCUCCGGAGCUCGGGAGGGGUGCGCGCCAACAUGCUCGGCCGUCCGGCCGUGGUGCGCACGGGUCCAUGGACCUGGCAAGACCUUUGACCCUGCUGCUGCCGUCAAUGGCCGGGGUGGCGCGGGGUCAUGGGUGUUCUGCCGGCCAGGACU